AGCAAGCGCACGAAGGCGUACACAGCUGCCGAGGACAAACUUCUUUGCGAGUGUUGGCGAGACAUUGGACAAGACCCAAAGACGGGCGCCGAGCAAAAGCAUUCGACCUUUUGGACUCGUGUGCACCGCAAGUUUCAUGAGCGCAAGAAGUUUCCACCUUACCAAUUUGUGAGCACGCGCGGGUGGGUCUCCAUUUCCAGGCGGUGGAGGGUGAUCCAACAAGAGUGCAACAAUUUUUGCGCCACCCUUGAGAGCGUCAAGGCCCGCCCCGUGAGCGGCAUCGGCGUGCAAGACAUGGUAUGA
Molecule: ribosomal RNA, 303 nt
Filed under: Triticum aestivum (bread wheat)
Lineage: Eukaryota; Viridiplantae; Streptophyta; Magnoliopsida; Poales; Poaceae
Description: partial small subunit ribosomal RNA
Source: RNAcentral